UUCCCAGGCUAGGGGUCUAAUCGAAGCUACAGCUUCCAGUCUGCACCACAGCCACAGCAACACCAGAUCCAAGCCACAUCUGCAACCUACACCACAGCUCAAGGCAACACCGGAUCCUCAACCCACUGAAUGAGGCCAGGGAUCGUACCCGCAACCUCAUAGUUCCUAGUCGGAUUCGUUUCCACUGCGCCAUGACGGGAACUCAAAGAUAAAGUCUCCUAUAAAAGGUCUGGCAGGAGAAACUGACGUUGCAUUUCUAAUAGGCAACGAUUGGACAAACACUGUGGAGAAGAUAUGGUGGUUUUUAGUCUUUUUUUUACAGCUGUUGAAAGCCUUUUGAUGCUACAACUAAAAAAGCUUGAGAAUUAAAGUUAUGAUUUAUUACGUGGAAAGAGAUGUCUGUCAUUCUUAAUUACUUUCCCAACUUUAACGUCCCCUUUCCUACUACAUAAAAUAUUCAAAGAAAAAAGGUCGAGCCAGGCCUUAGAUGUCACGUGGCUGAUUUUGCCAGUCGCCAGCAAACAUUCUGUGUCUGGGCCAACCACUGGGUGCCUAGGGCCUUUCCUGUUCUUUUUGUUUCCUUGAGUCAAUUCCUGUCAGGUGCAAACACUCCAGAAAUGCAGAAUUAGGACAUAGGAACUCAGCCUGAGUCACAGCUAGAAGCCCCCUUCCUCUACAGAGUUCACCAUUAAAAACAAAUGAAACCUCAAUUACAUUUCAAACAAAAAGGCAGGUGGAAGGGUAAGGGGCAGAUGCGGCUUCGGCACCAGCUAGAGAUGCUCGGGCAGAAGAGAUAUCAGUAAAAAACCUCAGAGAGCCGAGAAGUUUGGGGUACAGCCACCACGCCUCCUAGGUGACAACGCUGACACGCAUCGCACAUCGCGUCCGGUUACUUCCUGCCCAUUCUGCAGGUGCCAGGUGGAGACAGGCACACAGCCUGGGGCAGAAUCCAGAAAUGGACGGAGACAUAGGGCAGGUCCGGGGCGUGAGUGGCGAGGAGGCGAGCUUAUUACAAGAUGGGCAGUUUUGCAGGCAGCACAACUUGGAAAGCUCUGGUUUCUCCCAACAGCUGCCCCCAGGCCUGUUCCUCCUCUGGCUCCCCAGAGAAAGAAGAUGUGUGAUCCAGUGUCACCACGUUCCUACCCGCCUGCCAUGAGCAAAUGGGGGAGGGGGUCUCAUGGAGUCUGGGGUGGGGGAGGGGGUUGAGAGAACAAAGCCAGGAAGGUUCAGGGAUGGUAUGAAAUGAAGCUUCAGUGAACGAGGAGUGAGAGCAAACCUGAAAAUGAUCAUCAUGAAAAUGGUUAUUCAAUAAAGACUGCACGCUCAUCAGACAGAGAAACCCAAAUACCAUGAGAUCACCAACAUGGGGGCUCUAGUAAAAAAUGAUACAGGAGUUCCCGUUGCGGCACAGCAGAAACGAAUCCGACUAAGAACCAUGAGGUUGCGGGGUCCAUCCCUGGCCUUGUUCUGGGGGGCUAAGGAUCCGGUGUUGCUGUGAGCUGUGGUGUAGGUUGCAGACGCGGCUCGGAUCCCGCGUUGCUGUGGCUCUGGUGUAGGCCGGUGGCUGCAGCUCCGAUUGGACCCCUAGCCUGGGAACCUCCAUUUGCUGUGGGUGUGGCCCUAAAAAGGACAAAAGGACCCCCCCCAAAAAAAUGAUACAAAAGAACAUAUUCACACAACAGACUCCAAGAUUUCAAAACCAAAUUUAUGGUUACCAAAGGGAAACUUGGCGGAGGGGGGGGGAAUUAGGAGGUUUGGAUUAAUAUAUAUACACACUACUAGAAAUAAAAGAGAUAAGGAACAAGGACCCACUGAAUAGCCCAGGGAAAUCUACUCAAUAUUCUGUAAUAAUCUAUAUGAGAAAACAAUCUGAGAAGAAAUGGAUAUAUGUAUAUGGAGAACUGAUCCAGAUUGUUGUGCCCUUGAAUCUAACAAAACAUUGUAAGUCAACUAUGCUCCAAUAAAAUGUUUAAAAUAAAUAGAUAGGAGUUCCCAUUACAGCUCAGCAGUUAAUGAACCCGAUCAGUAUCCAUGAGGACUCGGGUUCCAUCUCUGGCCUCGCUCAGUGGGUUAAGGAUCGUUAAGGUCCCGGUGUUGCCGUGAGCUGUGGUGUAGGUCACAGACUCGGCUCAGAUCCCACGUUGCUGUGGCUGUGGUGUAGGCUGGCGGCUACAGCUCCAAUUGGACCCCUAGCCCGGGAACCGCCAUAUGCCUUGGGUGGGGUCCUAAAAAUAAAAAUAAAUAAAUAAAAUAAAAAUAAAGACUGUUAACUCAGAAUAAGGUAGGAAGAAAACCCAGAGCCUACAAAGUGAGGGGACGUUAAUGCAGCAGCACUGAACGCAGUGUGAACGGGACUCAGAUAAAAUCUGUUUAUGAGCCUUUCUUUACAGCUGUCGCCUAGAGAGCCAUAUAAACCGGAGCCACAUAAACUGGAGGCAAUCAGGUUUUCCAAAGUGACACACGUGUUAUGUGAUCUUAGGAUGGUCUUCACGUUUCAGACAGAGGCAUGUUUUAUUUCUAGAAGGUACCAACUAGAAAGCGGGGGUGAGUGUCUUUUUCAGAAUUUGUGGCCACGGAAUUUGGUGAUUGCCUUAUUCAUCAAAGCUACACGAAGCAGUCACUUACGAAGUCUCUUUGAGAAACCUCAAAUAAUAAAUUCUACUGCAAAAUUCAGCUGGAGGCCACCAGCUUCACCAAACUCCCAGCGCAGCGGGUACCUGUCCUGUGGCCCUAAAACUUCUCUACCUCAAGGAAAGAGCACAACAGUGACUUUAAAUCAAAGCAUCUUUGCUUCUUCAGGGAGAUAAAACGUCAUUGGUUAUUCUGUAAGAAUCUCUUCACUAAAUUUUUCUUUGAAUAAGAAGCACUCAUCAGAAAACCAGGGU
RNAcentral lists this long non-coding RNA (2885 nucleotides) under Sus scrofa (pig). RNAcentral's name for it is "lncRNA (ENSSSCG00015057381.1)". Lineage: Eukaryota; Metazoa; Chordata; Mammalia; Artiodactyla; Suidae. The record is from RNAcentral.